UUUAUUUAUUUAUUUAUUUUUGUGGUACGUGGGCCUCUCACCGUUGUGGCCUCUCCCGUUGCGGAGCACAGGCUCAGCGGCCACGGCUCACGGGCCCAGCCGCUCCGCAGCAUGUGGGAUCCUCCCGGGCCGGGGCACGAACCCGUGACCCCUGCAUCGGCAGGUGGACUCUCAACCACUGCGCCAUCAGGGAAGCCUGCUGUUUCCCCAGAUUUUAGAAGAGGUUAAUAGUCAUGCAGACUGCGUAAGUGUGAGGAGUUUGAAGUGAAACAAUGCAGGCAGAGCACUUCGUUCGAGAGUGCGGGCAUCAACUUUGGCUCAGCAGGUGGUGCCUGUGGUUAAUAAUGUGCUUACUAAGUCAUUGACAAGAGCUGCGGAACUUUUGCCAAGUGCUGUACAUUGGGCUGGGGCCCCAAAGCAGCCAGUGGGCCUCUUACCUUGUCCCUGGCGUUGGUCCUUUUUUAAAAAAUAACCCCAAACAAAGGGAGAUUUUUGAUAAAAGUGAAGCCUCCCGUUCUCCCAGGGGUGUAAGGAGGACAGUGUCCAGGAGGGGGCGCCAGAGCACCAGCCACAGCAGCGGUGUCUGUUUCCCUCCCUCCCUGCCCACCUGCUGUCACCAGCGGCUUCCCAGGGACCUCCUGUUCCUCCCUGGGAAUCAGGAAACGCCCUGGCUGGGACUCAGCCUGGAGACUCCUCUAGGCUCUGGGUAUUCACCACUGCUUUGUUUAGACAAAGGCUUCGUGGUGUCCCAGACCCUGGGAGGACACCUGACAUUCUUUAUCUAAUUUAAUCUUAAAAUGUUCCAGGGGAAGAAGGUAUCCUUGUCUCUGAUUCCAGACCAGGAAACGGAGGCACCGUGAGAUUAAGUCACAGCAGUGGGUGCAGCCAGGGUUCAAACCCAGGGGCAUCUCACCCCCAUGUCUUUGCCAGCUGCCCCUGAGAACCCUAGUCUUAGAAGGAUCUUACAGUCUUAGAGGCUUAUAAAGCCUAGACCCAUAGAAGUUUUUAUUCAAGUCAGAUAUAUACUUGUUUAAUGUUUUUUCCACUUAGGUAAUACCUGGUUGAAAAAACAAAAGGAAGAAUCAGUCCCCCUUCUCUGCAGGCUGGCCCCAGCCAUCCACUUUCCCUCCCUGGUGGUGACCACUGUUACAGUUUCUUGGGUCUCUUCCCAGAUGUUAGAAUUCGGUGGAUUUCUGGGUGACCUGGUCUCCUGGGCCUCAGCUGCUUUUAGCCCCCUGCCCUCAGGCUCCCACUGGUGUCUCUGUCACAGCCCAGGUGAUCUAAAGGGUCUUUCUUGGCUCUUGGAAUCCCCCCGACACCCGGCUUCAAGUCCACCCAUCCCUUUAGAAGGGGCAGUGGUACUUAGAAGAGUGUCCCCACGAGUACAAAGGAGGUUGGUCCUGCAUUCUCUCUCUGCCCCUCCUCCUCCAGGGGUCCUCAUCCCAGAAAGGCCCCCCUGUUCCUGGUGUGGACCCACUUUCUAUUUGCCCCCUGUGGAGGGAAGAGCGGAAGUGCCCAGAGUCACAUGGUAGGCAUUGGGCACCGAGGCUAGACCCCUGUCCCCAUGGGGUACCCUGCAAGAUGGGGGCUUAGGGUGGUGGGUCCACACAGGGCAGGCCUUGCCGUGUCCUUUCUCCACCUGGGAUCUGGGUUGGAAGGUUGGCCUUACUCAGCUGUUAUUUCCUCUUUCAGAAGCCCUCCUCCCCGGGGCCAGGUCAGGGACCCCUCUGAGCAUCCCUCUCCUCUGUCAGAGCUCUAGUCUCACUGGAUUGUGAUUUUCUUCUGUUUAUCUGUUUCCGCAUUAGAAGGUGUGCUCGGGGAGGACAGGGCCCUACCAAAUUUUGUGUUUCUUCCCAUUACUUAGCACAGAGCAGACACUCCAUAGAUGACUCAGUUAACCCAAUACUUUCCACCCAGACCCACAGUUCCGCCUGCUUCUGGGCCCACCGAAGACUACACAUCCCAGCCCCUUGAGUUUGCUCUGUGACGUGCUCUGGCCAAUGAAAUCGGAGCCAAAGUAGCAUGUCACUUCUGGGUGGAGACCUUUCAGAACUAGUGCAUGGUUCUUCCUGCUGCCCUCCCCCUGAGCAGUGAUGGGAAAUUCCAGGUGGGUUCCUCAGCGGGGACAGCAGGGAACAGAGAUCCCUGUUCCCACCCUUCUACUGGAUAUGUUGCACAAAUGAGAAAUAAACCUUUUUUUUUUUUUUUUUUGCGGUACGCGGGCCUCUCACUGUUGUGGCCUCUCCCGUUGCGGAGCACAGGCUCUGGACGCGCAGGCUCAGCAGCCAUGGUUCACGGGCCCAGCCGCUCCGCGGCAUGUGGGAUCUUCCCGGACCGGGGCACGAACCCGCGUCCCCUGCAUCGGCAGGCGGACUCUCAACCACUGCGCCACCAGGGAAGCCCUAUGACAGUAUUUUUUUAAAAAUUACUUUAUUGAGGUAUAGUUGAUUUACAAUGGUAUGUUAAUUUCUGCUGUACAGCAAAGUGAUUCAGUUAUACACACACGUACACACACACAUACAAUAUUCUUUUUCAUAUUCUUUUCCAUUAUCGUUUAUUACAGGAUAUUGAAUAUAGUUCCCUGUGUUAUACAGUAGGACCUUGUUUAUUUUUGCCCUUUAUACCUCCCUGGAGAGUUGUGAUAAUCAAAAGAGAUGUAUGUAACAGGGAAUAGAUUAUUAUCUUAUCACUCACCCUCACACCCUCUCAUGCUUUAUGCCUGGUGAUGUGUCUGAUCUCUCGUGGGUUAGUGCCUUCCCAUUGAAAGAAUAUGGCAUUCACUCAUUCAUGCAUUUGUGUUGUGGAGAUAUUAAUAGUACCUCCAAUAUAAGAUUGUGAUGAGGAUUAAAUACAUUAAUGUGUAUAAGGUUCCUAGAGUGGUUGGCACAUGGUGAAUACUCUAUAAAUGUUUCCAUUGUUAUUAUCAGUCUUUUCUAGUUCAUUCAAGAAAAUUUACUGAGCAUCCACUGUGUUUCCUGGGACUAGAGAGAACAAAGCUUGUUCCUUCCUACCUUGGGGGAGUAAGGCCCAGGAAAGAAUGUUGCUGCCAGUGUAAAGGUGCCGAGCCUGUCAGCAAGCACAGAGCGCUAGGGGAUCUUCCAAUAGGAAGGGACUCCGUGCAGGCCUGGUGUGUGGGUACUGGGGUGGCCUUGUGCUUUGAGAUGGAGCCACGGGGGCUGGCUGGGGCUGGGGGUGGCCGGCAGCGCUUACGGAAGCCCCCAGCCUGGGAGCCAGAGUGCUGCUCUGCCGGUUCUGUUCACGGUCCCAACACGUGCCUUGCCCCUCAGCGGCAGCAGGGCUGGGGUGGCUGGAGGGGAGGGAAGGAGGUUGGGAGCAGGCUGGGCUGUGUGAACACACAGAUGGUGGGUCAGGAAGGAAGGCCAGGGAACCAGCACUAAGGAGGGAGGCAGAGGGAGAGAGGAUGGAGGGGAAGGUGAGGGCUGCUGGGGGCGGGUGCCUUGGGGGCGGGUGGUGGAAGCCUAGGCCAAACCCCUAUGUUGCCUCCAUCUGAUCAUGAGCCCCUGUGCAUGGAGGGGAACUCUGACCAUUGGGGCCCAAGAGCACCUGGGCAGUAUCAGAUCACCACCCCUGUGUUACAGCUGGAGAGACUGAGGCCCAGAGAGGAUGUGUAACUUCCUCACAGACACACAGCCAGUUAGGGGCUUACCCAGAAUCAGAACCCAGACCUCUUGAUUCUUAGUCCAGUGCUCCUCACAUGAUACCACGCCGCCUUUUGGGGCCUCGGGGCCUCCUGUUUUAUUGGAAAACCCUAAUCUGAGGGGGGCCACGUUGCUGCCAUUGCUGAUGUGUGUAACCCUGCACUCCGUCCCGUUCUCCCUCCUCCGUCUUCUCCCCUCAGGGGAAAGGGCACAAGCAAGUGCAGAUUCCGUUCAGCUGUUCCACCCUCGGCCCAGGGCUGGUGCAGAGGAGCUGGGAGCAGCCUCCCUUACCCCACCGACCCACCUUCUUCUCAGAGGCAGGCUGGGCCUGGGGGGCAGGGACCUGUGGUGGGGCUUCUCCCUCAAGCUCUGUGGUGGGUGCCCUCUCAGAUGGCCUGGGUGACCCCACCUCCUGGUACGUGCACUCUUGUGUCAUCCUCCCCCCUUGAGUGUGGGCUGAUCUAGAGACUUGAGUCUAAAAAUGGAAUGAGUAAGUCCCCUACAUACUAACCUUCAAGUUGCGAUCUUUCAAAGAUGCGAACAUGCGUUUGCAUGUCCAAUCACGUUUAGUUCACGUGUCUGGCGUACGUUGUCACGUCCGUGCAUCCUCUACAAGAGGCUGUGCUUCUGUGUACUUUCCUGUAUAGUACCGUAUAGAGUACAGUAGUACAGUAUCUUUACUUCAAGCCCAGGAUGUCUGGAAGCAGGCGAAAAGCAGCAGUGAUGUAGCUGGCGCAGUACAGUACUACCCAGACAUCCCUGGAUCGAUUUUUCAAGAGGGUAGAUAGAAUUGAAUCCAGCAAGGAACCAGAACCUGUGCCAUCCACGUCAGGCGUGAGUGGAACUGCAGCUUGCCCUCUGUCUCCUAUUGCUGACAGUCCUUCAGCUCUACCAUCUCCCACUUCCCCUCCCUCCAACAGUCAGUCACUCUUCUUGCCUGUUCACUGGAUGCCAGCCCCUGUAUGCCAGCUGUUAUAAUGCACUACUGUACUUUUCAAGGGACUGUACUGUAAGAUUCAAAAUGUUUUCUUUAUUUUUUCUUUGUUUUCUCUGUAUUAUUUGUGUGAAAAUUACUAUAAACCUAUUACAGUACAGGACUAUAUAGCCGAUUGUGUUAGUUGUGUACCUAGGCUAACUUUGUUGGACUUAUAAACGUGCUGUCGGAAUGGAACUUGUUCGUAUGUAGCGGACUUACAGUAUGGAUAUCACUUCUGAGAUUUUGUUACUAAAGAUGGUGGCUUGUGUCGGGAGUGCCCCCCCAUUUCUCUCUCGCUUGCUGGCAGCCAGCUGCCAUGUCAUGAGCUGCCUGGUAGUGCCAACAGCCAGCCAGCACCUGAGGCCGACCAACAGCUGUGGGAGUGAGCUUGCAAGUGACCCCUCCCCAGAUGAGCCUUCAGAUGAGACCACAGCCCUGGCUGACACCCUGACUGCAACCUCAAUGGGAGACUCUGAGCCAGAGACCCCAGUUGAGCUCUGCCCAGAUUUCUGAUCCUAGAAACUAUAAUAAAUGUAUGUUGUUUUGCUCUA
Orcinus orca (killer whale) is the source of this 5186-nucleotide long non-coding RNA. RefSeq lists it as uncharacterized. The record is from RefSeq and is a predicted model, not a curated record. Lineage: Eukaryota; Metazoa; Chordata; Mammalia; Artiodactyla; Delphinidae. The transcript has 2 exons.